RNAcentral lists this ribosomal RNA (131 nucleotides) under Escherichia coli O157:H7 str. G5101. RNAcentral describes it as "partial 23S ribosomal RNA". It matches the Rfam family "Bacterial large subunit ribosomal RNA", at positions 2802 to 2925 of the family's 2925-position model. The record is from RNAcentral. Lineage: Bacteria; Pseudomonadati; Pseudomonadota; Gammaproteobacteria; Enterobacterales; Enterobacteriaceae.
AGAUGAGUUCUCCCUGACCCUUUAAGGGUCCUGAAGGAACGUUGAAGACGACGACGUUGAUAGGCCGGGUGUGUAAGCGCAGCGAUGCGUUGAGCUAACCGGUACUAAUGAACCGUGAGGCUUAACCUUAC